UUGGACUGUCCCCUGAGUCGGUUUAAAUCGGUUUCUGUUUCGCGUCUUGCGACGUGCUGCGACUAAUAUGCGAAAUGCAACUAAGUUAAGCGCACACUUGGCCAGCAGAAGUAGAAACAGCAGCAGCAGCAGCAGCAGCAAUAACAGAUGCAGCUCAAUCAUGAUUGAAAGGGGUUUCAAUUUCAAUUAAAGACAUCGCAAUGGUGAGGAGAUAGGGGGGGCAGUGGGGGCUAGUCCAAUCCGGGCGUGCGAAAAUAGCCCGCCACGCGCUUCGCCAAUGGCGACCCACAAACGAGGCGCUAAAUUGAAUGCCCGAAUGCUUUAUGGCAAUAUUAAUGCCAUUCAUAAGGCCAUACCCGAGCCACACAUCACAUCACUCUCUCCUUCAUCGUCGCCCACUCGUGUACAGUCACACGCCGGAGUCGAGUGCUACAUUAUAGGCGCCAGUUUAGCAGUGUCAGCAGUCGACGCUUAACGAUCCAACAAUAGGCCGACUACGAUCAUGUUUAUGCCGUGCUAAUCCCAACUAAUCAGAGCAUAUUUUGAUCGGACGAAAUGGGGUAUUACGCAUGGAAUUACUAGAUAACGCGUAAACUCUUAAUAAUUCAACCCUUUAGCUUCUACUUCUUCUACUAGAUUAUUACUAUAUAAUUACGUGACUUCACAGUCUUA
This is a long non-coding RNA of Drosophila mojavensis, 672 nucleotides long. RefSeq lists it as uncharacterized. The transcript has 2 exons. The record is from RefSeq and is a predicted model, not a curated record. Lineage: Eukaryota; Metazoa; Arthropoda; Insecta; Diptera; Drosophilidae.